CAAUAGCGUAUAUUAAAGUUGUUGCGGUUAAAAAGCUCGUAGUUGGAUUUCUGCCGAGGACGACCGGUCCGCCCUCUGGGUGAGUAUCUGGCUCGGCCUGGGCAUCUUCUUGGAGAACGUAGCUGCACUUGACUGUGUGGUGCGGUAUCCAGGACUUUUACUUUGAGGAAAUUAGAGUGUUUCAAGCAGGCACACGCCUUGAAUACAUUAGCAUGGAAUAAUAAGAUAGGACCUCGGUUCUAUUUUGUUGGUUUCUAGAGCUGAGGUAAUGAUUAAUAGGGAUAGUUGGGGGCAUUCGUAUUUAACUGUCAGAGGUGAAAUCCUUGGAUUUGUUAAAGACGGACUACUGCGAAAGCAUUUGCCAAGGAUGUUUUCAUUGA
Molecule: ribosomal RNA, 380 nt
Filed under: uncultured eukaryote
Lineage: Eukaryota
Description: partial 18S ribosomal RNA
Rfam family: Eukaryotic small subunit ribosomal RNA
Source: RNAcentral